This 504-nucleotide ribosomal RNA is filed under the name Triticum aestivum (bread wheat). RNAcentral describes it as "partial small subunit ribosomal RNA". Lineage: Eukaryota; Viridiplantae; Streptophyta; Magnoliopsida; Poales; Poaceae. The record is from RNAcentral.
AUGAUUCUCAGACAGAGUUGUAUACCGAGCAGCCAGACACGUACACCUAGCAGUUGGAUCGAGCAGACGGGCCUUGAUUCGAAUGAUUGGCUGGCAGUGCCGACCCAAAGAAGAAGGGAUGGGGAGAAAGUUUCAAUUUUAGGGAGGACGAAUUGUUGUAUGAUGUUUGGUUGGCCACGGGUAUUGAUCCGUUUCAAGGCAUGGAGCAAAGAUGCCCAACCCUUUGGUCCAAUGUUCAUACUUGGUUCCAUGAGCACUAGAACUCCGAUACCUACCGCACAGAAGCGAUCUGAGAUCAUACGCCAAAUUGCUCACCUAUCGAUGGUACACCAUCCAAGAGCUGUGAGCAAGUAUUGUGGUCAUCUCAAUAUACUCAAAAACCGGUGGCCAAGUGCCCUUCCAUGCGGUCACAUUGUGCUUGAAGGUGGAAAGAAACUUCAUCCUCAUGCAUUGUUGGUUAAAGUUGAAUGGGCAACCAAAGUGACUCAUAUCCAUUGCCCAUAG